UCCUUUGUGGAGUAAUGGUUAGCACAUUCGGCACAUAUUCGAAAGGUCCAGGUUCGAGUCCCGGCGAAGGCA
This 72-nucleotide transfer RNA is filed under the name Stegodyphus mimosarum. It matches the Rfam family "tRNA". Rfam says of the family: Transfer RNA (tRNA) molecules are approximately 80 nucleotides in length. Their secondary structure includes four short double-helical elements and three loops (D, anti-codon, and T loops). Lineage: Eukaryota; Metazoa; Arthropoda; Arachnida; Araneae; Eresidae. The record is from Rfam by way of RNAcentral.